UCAUAUGCAAGUUGUAACACGUCCGGUCAUUUAUUAGCAAUUUUUAGAAAAGAAAUCUUCAGAAAAUGUAAAACUUGACGAAAAAUAUAAAAAACUUGGCGUGGUGCCUUGAAUUUAUAGGAAAUGAUAAUAAUUUGGGUGAUUGAAGAGACGUCGAGAAACAAGGUGAACAUGGUCUAGUUUUGGAUAUUCUUGAAAUGAACCCAACUUUUACAAGAAGGUGGGCAUGCGCAUGGUAGGAAUCAAUGCAGGUUUGAAC
This 259-nucleotide long non-coding RNA is filed under the name Hordeum vulgare. RNAcentral describes it as "long non-coding RNA (HVUL_LNC019428)". The record is from RNAcentral. Lineage: Eukaryota; Viridiplantae; Streptophyta; Magnoliopsida; Poales; Poaceae.